Molecule: long non-coding RNA, 1383 nt
Organism: Aegilops tauschii subsp. strangulata
Lineage: Eukaryota; Viridiplantae; Streptophyta; Magnoliopsida; Poales; Poaceae
Source: RefSeq, a predicted model, not a curated record
UCAGUACCCUGUUGGUUUCAGUGUUAAAUGGCCACAAGUUUAUUGAUCUAAAUAUGUAAAUCUUUCUUGUUUUGUUUUCAUUUUCAUGCGCUACUCUAUUAGGAAUAACAACUAAAAAACAUUGAAAGUUGGAUUUGAUUUCCUUCCCAACACAAGCAACAAAUAUAAUAAAUGUCUCACAUCCUUAACUCCGGCAAAAUAUUAAUUGACUGACACAAUGGAUCUGUCUAUUAAUCAAGAGUGUAUUACUAAAACUACAGAUUGAUUGUUUUUUAGUUAUGCAGCAUAUAGUAUUCUCCCCAGUUCUGCUAGAUUGGAUUGUUAGUUCAUGUACUUUGGUAAAUCAUUUUGGAAAUUUUGAUUAGGAAACUAAUUUGUGUUCAUGUUGGUUUAUCUAUGCUCCUUUGUCAUUGAUGCGCCUACUGUACUGUAAUUAUUUAGUUCCUCCGCUUAUAGGAUGAUCUCAGGUUUAGUAGUGAUAUAAAAAAUACAUUUCUGCGUUUUCCCUCUGCAGCUGUGUUGCUACGUCACUUUCUGUUCCUUAUGGUCUGCCACUAUUUGACGUCCUUUUUGUGCUCAAACAUUUCUCGUUGUUCCUUGCAUGAUCCAAAUGAGCUUGGUUACGUACAAAAUUAUUGUGGAGGGUCUCAGGUAAUCGUUGCUGUUGAAGAUUACGCCCUGGUCAUGAUUUUCAUUUUCAAACUUGCCAUUCAUCAGAGGUUUUGGAUGGAGUGCACUCAUGCAUUAUAUUGGAGUAGGAACCUGGCGAGGAGGAGGAUACCAUGGGGAGGCGAACCUGGUAAAAUAGGGGUGAAAGUAGAAUAUAGACUGUAGGUUCGUGUUUUCCUUAUCGAGGACACUGUGAAGGCUUCUAAUGCAGUUUUACAAGAAGCAUCUAUGGAGCUAAUUCAGAGGUUAGGUAGUGCUUGUCAUGUUUUUUCAUUUUUAACCACUGUUCAAGAUAUCUUCCGAUAUUUCUGAUAAAUCGGCCGAUUUAUCGCUUACCGUUGUCUGACCGAUAAGAUAAAUCGGUCGAUAAAUCAACUGAUAUGUCGAUAAAUCGCCCGAUAUGCCGAUAAACUGGUUGAUUUACCCCUUAUCAUGGGUCGACCGAUAAGUUCCCGAUAACGAUAUCCCCAACAUUGUUUUUAACUAUGGUGUCUAGGAUGAAAUGACCCUUAGUUGUGAUUCCAUUUUUUGUAUGUAAAAUUAUAUUUUUUAAGUUUUGUAUUCAGUCUGCCACUUGCCAGUGAAUUAGGGCUGCAUUCACUAGUAGAAAACUAGGCUUUGGUCACAGGGCAAUAUUCACAUUAGUCCCGGUCCAGUCACGAACCGGGACUAAUGUGAGCAUUGGUCCCGGUUCGUGCGGCCAGGGGCCUGCCG